CCCUCAAUCAUGAUAAUAUAUGUGAAUCAUUACUUUCAAAUCCACCUUCAUAUAAAAUAAAAAAAAAUAUAAUCCGUAAUAAAUUUAUUUAUUGUAACCCAUCUCUUCUUGUUUAUAAACUGCACCUUGAUCUGAUUUAAUUCAAAAUAAUGAAUCAUGAAUAUUAAACAUUCUAAUAAAAUACUCAACUACGACGAUAUACAAGUUAAUUAAAACAAGUUAAAUUUUAAUCGUGUACUAUCAAUUACAGAACAGGUUCCUCUGAAUAGACUAAAUUACCGCCAAAAUUUUUAACUUUAAAGUCCAUAACUAAUACUAAUUUAGUGUAAAUAUUUAACAUUUCU
Molecule: ribosomal RNA, 344 nt
Filed under: Hydrophilus acuminatus
Lineage: Eukaryota; Metazoa; Arthropoda; Insecta; Coleoptera; Hydrophilidae
Description: partial 12S ribosomal RNA
Source: RNAcentral